UGGCGAACGGGUGAGUAACACGUGAGUAACCUGCCCUUGACUCUGGGAUAAGCCUGGGAAACUGGGUCUAAUACCGGAUAGGAACGUCCACCGCAUGGUGGUUGUUGGAAAGAUUUAUCGGUCAUGGAUGGACUCGCGGCCUAUCAGCUUGUUGGUGAGGUAAUGGCUCACCAAGGCGACGACGGGUAGCCGGCCUGAGAGGGUGACCGGCCACACUGGGACUGAGACACGGCCCAGACUCCUACGGGAGGCAGCAGUGGGGAAUAUUGCACAAUGGGCGAAAGCCUGAUGCAGCGACGCCGCGUGAGGGAUGACGGCCUUCGGGUUGUAGACCUCUUUCAGUAGGGAAGAAGCGAAAGUGACGGUACCUGCAGAAGAAGCACCGGCUAACUACGUGCCAGCAGCCGCGGUAAUACGUAGGGUGCGAGCGUUAUCCGGAAUUAUUGGGCGUAAAGAGCUCGUAGGCGGUUUGUCGCGUCUGUCGUGAAAGUCCGGGGCUUAACCCCGGAUCUGCGGUGGGUACGGGCAGACUAGAGCGCAGUAGGGGAGACUGGAAUUCCUGGUGUAGCGGUGGAAUGCGCAGAUAUCAGGAGGAACACCGAUGGCGAAGGCAGGUCUCUGGGCUGUAACCGACGCUGAGGAGCGAAAGCAUGGGGAGCGAACAGGAUUAGAUACCCUGGUAGUCCAUGCCGUAAACGUUGGGCACU
This 707-nucleotide ribosomal RNA is filed under the name uncultured bacterium. Its description in RNAcentral is "bacterial SSU rRNA". It matches the Rfam family "Bacterial small subunit ribosomal RNA", at positions 96 to 817 of the family's 1533-position model. The record is from RNAcentral.